GUGAGGAAUAUUGCGCAAUGGAGGCAACUCUGACGCAGCCAUGCCGCGUGCAGGAAGAAGGCGCUACGCGUUGUAAACUGCUUUUAACCGGGAAGAAACCCCAGGACGUGUCCUGGGUUGACGGUACCGGAGGAAUAAGCACCGGCUAACUUCGUGCCAGCAGCCGCGGUAAUACGAAGGGUGCAAGCGUUAUCCGGAUUCAUUGGGUUUAAAGGGUGCGUAGGCGGAGCGUUAAGUCAGUGGUGAAAUCCUGCAGUUUAACUGUAGACUUGCCAUUGAUACUGGCGCUCUUGAGUGCGCUUGAAGUGGGCGGAAUGUGCCGUGUAGCGGUGAAAUGCUUAGAUAUGGCACAGAACACCAAUUGCGAAGGCAGCUCACUAAGGCGAUACUGACGCUGAGGCACGAAAGCGUGGGGAUCGAACAGGAUUAGAAACCCUGGUAGUCC
Molecule: ribosomal RNA, 445 nt
Filed under: uncultured bacterium
Lineage: Bacteria
Description: partial 16S ribosomal RNA
Rfam family: Bacterial small subunit ribosomal RNA
Source: RNAcentral